GCGAACUCCGAGCCAGAAGCCGAGGUAAUACGGAGGAUCCAAGCGGUAUCCGGAAGCAGUGGGUUGAAAGGGUCCGUAGGCGGCCUUAUAAGUCAGCGGUGAAAGUUUUUGGCUUAACCAAAAAAUUGCCAUUGAUACUGUAGGGCUUGAAUAUUUGUGAAGUAACUAGAAUAUGUAGUGUAGCGGUGAAAUGCUUAGAUAUUACAUGGAAUACCAAUUGCGAAGGCAGGUUACUAACAAAUGAUUGACGCUGAUGGACGAAAGCGUGGGUAGCGAACAGGAUUAGAUACCCGAGUAGUC
Molecule: ribosomal RNA, 300 nt
Filed under: uncultured Halorubrum sp.
Lineage: Archaea; Methanobacteriati; Methanobacteriota; Halobacteria; Halobacteriales; Haloferacaceae
Description: bacterial SSU rRNA
Rfam family: Bacterial small subunit ribosomal RNA
Source: RNAcentral